This 303-nucleotide signal recognition particle RNA is filed under the name Vombatus ursinus (common wombat). RNAcentral describes it as "Metazoan signal recognition particle RNA (ENSVURG00010001527.1)". It matches the Rfam family "Metazoan signal recognition particle RNA". Rfam says of the family: The signal recognition particle (SRP) is a universally conserved ribonucleoprotein. It is involved in the co-translational targeting of proteins to membranes. The record is from Rfam by way of RNAcentral. Lineage: Eukaryota; Metazoa; Chordata; Mammalia; Diprotodontia; Vombatidae.
GCUAGAGGUGGUGGCUCAUUCCUGUAAUCCCUCUCCCUGGGAGGCCGAAGAUGACAGAUCUCUUGAGUUUAGAAGCUCUAAGCUGUAGUAGGUGAUGUUGAUCAGGUGUCCAUACUGAGUUCAUCAUUAAAAAGGUGAGUCUAGAGGGGAGAAUACAAGCCCCCCGGAUUGUCUAAGGAAGCAUAAAUUGGUCCAGGUGGGAAAACAGAGCAGAUCAAAGCUUCCAUGUUGAUUAGAAUGAGAUCAGAUUGUGAAUAGCUGCUGGAUUUCUAGUCUCAGUGAGAUAAAGAAGUUCAUCCUUUU